UGAGUACGAGCUGCUACGGCAGCGAAGUGGGUGAUGUCAAGCUUCCAAGAAAAGCCCUAUACCCGUUAAGGCAUGAUGGCCUGUACCCGAAACCGACACAGGUGGGGUGGUAGAGAAUACCGAGGGGCGCGAGAUAACUCUCUCUAAGGAACUCGGCAAAAUGGCCCCGUAACUUCGGGAGAAGGGGUGCCACCGCAAGGUGGUCGCAGUGAAGAGGCCCAGGCGACUGUUUACCAAAAACACAGGUCUCCGCUAAGUCGCAAGACGAUGUAUGGGGGCUGACGCCUGCCCAGUGCCGGAAGGUUAAGGAAGCUGGUCAGCGUAAGCGAAGCUAGCGACUGAAGCCCCGGUGAACGGCGGCCGUAACAAUAACGGUCCUAAGGUAGCGAAAUUCCUUGUCGGGUAAGUUCCGACCCGCACGAAAGGCGUAACGAUCUGGGCGCUGUCUCGGAGAGAGGCUCGGCGAAAUAGAAUUGUCUGUGAAGAUGCGGACUACGUGCACCCGGACAGAAAGACCCUAUGAAGCUUUACUGUAGCUUGGUAUUGUGCUCGGGCUCGGAAUGCGCAGGAUAGGUGGGAGGCUAUGAACCAUUGCUUGUGGGUGAUGGUGAGCCACUGGUGAGAUACCACUCUUUCCGAGCUAGAGUUCUAACAGCCACCCGUUAUCCGGGGGCUGGACAGUAUCAGGUGGGCAGUUUGACUGGGGCGGUCGCCUCCUAAAAGGUAACGGAGGCGCGCAAAGGUUUGCUCAGGCUGGUUGGAAAUCAGCCGACGAGUGUAAAAGCAGAAGCAAGCUUGACUGUGAGACCUACAAGUCGAACAGGGAGGAAACUCGGCUUUAGUGAUCCGACGGUUCUGCGUGGAAGGGCCGUCGCUCAACGGAUAAAAGUUACUCUAAGGAUAACAGGCUGAUCUCCCCCAAGAGUUCACAUCGACGGGGAGGUUUGGCACCUCGAUGUCGGCUCAUCGCAACCUGGGGCUGAAGUCGGACCCAAGGGUUGGGCUGUUCGCCCAUUAAAGCGGUACGCGAGCUGGGUUCAGAACGUCGUGAGACAGUUCGGUCCAUAUCCGGUGCAUGCGCAGGAAUAUUGAGAGGAUUUCUCCCUAGUACGAGAGGACCGGGAGGAACGCACCUCUGGUGUACCAGUUAUCGUGCCAACGGUAAACGCUGGGUAGCCAUGUGCGGAGAGGAUAACCGCUGAAAGCAUCUAAGUGGGAAGCCCACCUCAAGAUGAGUAUUCCCAUGGGGUAACCCAGUAAGGUCACGGGAAGAACACCCGUUGAUAGGCUCUACGUGGAAGCGCAGUAAUGUGUGAAGCGGAGGAGUACUAAUAGACCGAGGGCUUGA
Molecule: ribosomal RNA, 1348 nt
Filed under: metagenome
Description: bacterial LSU rRNA
Rfam family: Bacterial large subunit ribosomal RNA
Source: RNAcentral